AGUGAACGCUGGCGGUAGGCCUAACACAUGCAAGUCGAACGGCAGCACAGUAAGAGCUUGCUCUUACGGGUGGCGAGUGGCGGAUGGGUGAGGAAUACAUCGGAAUCUACUUUUUCGUGGGGGAUAACGUAGGGAAACUUACGCUAAUACCGCAUACGACCUACGGGUGAAAGCAGGGGAUCUUCGGACCUUGCGCGAUUGAAUGAGCCGAUGUCGGAUUAGCUAGUUGGCGGGGUAAAGGCCAACCAAGGCGACGAUCCGUAGCUGGUCUGGGAGGAUGAUCAGCCACACUGGAACUGAGACACGGUCCAGACUCCUACGGGAGGCAGCAGUGGGGAAUAUUGGACAAUGGGCGCAAGCCUGGUCCAGCCAUACCGCGUGGGUGAAGAAGGCCUUCGGGUUGUAAAGCCCUUUUGUUGGGAAAGAAAAGCAGCAGGUUAAUACCCCGCUGUUCUGACGGUACCCAAAGAAUAAGCACCGGCUAACUUCGUG
Molecule: ribosomal RNA, 492 nt
Filed under: uncultured bacterium
Lineage: Bacteria
Description: partial 16S ribosomal RNA
Rfam family: Bacterial small subunit ribosomal RNA
Source: RNAcentral